UUAAGCGACUAAGCGUACACGGUGGAUGCCCUGGCAGUCAGAGGCGAUGAAGGACGUGCUAAUCUGCGAUAAGCGUCGGUGAGGUGAUAUGAACCGUUAUAACCGGCGAUUUCCGAAUGGGGAAACCCAGUGUGUUUCGACACACUAUCAUUAACUGAAUCCAUAGGUUAAUGAGGCGAACCGGGGGAACUGAAACAUCUAAGUACCCCGAGGAAAAGAAAUCAACCGAGAUUCCCCCAGUAGCGGCGAGCGAACGGGGAGGAGCCCAGAGCCUGAAUCAGUGUGUGUGUUAGUGGAAGCGUCUGGAAAGGCGUGCGAUACAGGGUGACAGCCCCGUACACAAAAAUGCACAUAUUGUGAGCUCGAUGAGUAGGGCGGGACACGUGGUAUCCUGUCUGAAUAUGGGGGGACCAUCCUCCAAGGCUAAAUACUCCUGACUGACCGAUAGUGAACCAGUACCGUGAGGGAAAGGCGAAAAGAACCCCGGCGAGGGGAGUGAAAAAGAACCUGAAACCGUGUACGUACAAGCAGUGGGAGCCUCUUAAUGGGGUGACUGCGUACCUUUUGUAUAAUGGGUCAGCGACUUAUAUUCUGUAGCAAGGUUAACCGAAUAGGGGAGCCGAAGGGAAACCGAGUCUUAACUGGGCGUUAAGUUGCAGGGUAUAGACCCGAAACCCGGUGAUCUAGCCAUGGGCAGGUUGAAGGUUGGGUAACACUAACUGGAGGACCGAACCGACUAAUGUUGAAAAAUUAGCGGAUGACUUGUGGCUGGGGGUGAAAGGCCAAUCAAACCGGGAGAUAGCUGGUUCUCCCCGAAAGCUAUUUAGGUAGCGCCUCGUGAAUUCAUCUCCGGGGGUAGAGCACUGUUUCGGCAAGGGGGUCAUCCCGACUUACCAACCCGAUGCAAACUGCGAAUACCGGAGAAUGUUAUCACGGGAGACACACGGCGGGUGCUAACGUCCGUCGUGAAGAGGGAAACAACCCAGACCGCCAGCUAAGGUCCCAAAGUCAUGGUUAAGUGGGAAACGAUGUGGGAAGGCCCAGACAGCCAGGAUGUUGGCUUAGAAGCAGCCAUCAUUUAAAGAAAGCGUAAUAGCUCACUGGUCGAGUCGGCCUGCGCGGAAGAUGUAACGGGGCUAAACCAUGCACCGAAGCUGCGGCAGCGACACUAUGUGUUGUUGGGUAGGGGAGCGUUCUGUAAGCCUGUGAAGGUGGCCUGUGAGGGUUGCUGGAGGUAUCAGAAGUGCGAAUGCUGACAUAAGUAACGAUAAAGCGGGUGAAAAGCCCGCUCGCCGGAAGACCAAGGGUUCCUGUCCAACGUUAAUCGGGGCAGGGUGAGUCGACCCCUAAGGCGAGGCCGAAAGGCGUAGUCGAUGGGAAACAGGUUAAUAUUCCUGUACUUGGUGUUACUGCGAAGGGGGGACGGAGAAGGCUAUGUUGGCCGGGCGACGGUUGUCCCGGUUUAAGCGUGUAGGCUGGUUUUCCAGGAAAAUCCGGAAAACCAAGGCUGAGGCGUGAUGACGAGGCACUACGGUGCUGAAGCGACAAAUGCCCUGCUUCCAGGAAAAGCCUCUAAGCAUCAGGUAACAUCAAAUCGUACCCCAAACCGACACAGGUGGUCAGGUAGAGAAUACCAAGGCGCUUGAGAGAACUCGGGUGAAGGAACUAGGCAAAAUGGUGCCGUAACUUCGGGAGAAGGCACGCUGAUAUGUAGGUGAAGCGACUUGCUCGUGGAGCUGAAAUCAGUCGAAGAUACCAGCUGGCUGCAACUGUUUAUUAAAAACACAGCACUGUGCAAACACGAAAGUGGACGUAUACGGUGUGACGCCUGCCCGGUGCCGGAAGGUUAAUUGAUGGGGUUAGCGGUAACGCGAAGCUCUUGAUCGAAGCCCCGGUAAACGGCGGCCGUAACUAUAACGGUCCUAAGGUAGCGAAAUUCCUUGUCGGGUAAGUUCCGACCUGCACGAAUGGCGUAAUGAUGGCCAGGCUGUCUCCACCCGAGACUCAGUGAAAUUGAACUCGCUGUGAAGAUGCAGUGUACCCGCGGCAAGACGGAAAGACCCCGUGAACCUUUACUAUAGCUUGACACUGAACAUUGAGCCUUGAUGUGUAGGAUAGGUGGGAGGCUUUGAAGUGUGGACGCCAGUCUGCAUGGAGCCGACCUUGAAAUACCACCCUUUAAUGUUUGAUGUUCUAACGUUGGCCCGUAAUCCGGGUUGCGGACAGUGUCUGGUGGGUAGUUUGACUGGGGCGGUCUCCUCCUAAAGAGUAACGGAGGAGCACGAAGGUUGGCUAAUCCUGGUCGGACAUCAGGAGGUUAGUGCAAUGGCAUAAGCCAGCUUGACUGCGAGCGUGACGGCGCGAGCAGGUGCGAAAGUAGGUCAUAGUGAUCCGGUGGUUCUGAAUGGAAGGGCCAUCGCUCAACGGAUAAAAGGUACUCCGGGGAUAACAGGCUGAUACCGCCCAAGAGUUCAUAUCGACGGCGGUGUUUGGCACCUCGAUGUCGGCUCAUCACAUCCUGGGGCUGAAGUAGGUCCCAAGGGUAUGGCUGUUCGCCAUUUAAAGUGGUACGCGAGCUGGGUUUAGAACGUCGUGAGACAGUUCGGUCCCUAUCUGCCGUGGGCGCUGGAGAACUGAGGGGGGCUGCUCCUAGUACGAGAGGACCGGAGUGGACGCAUCACUGGUGUUCGGGUUGUCAUGCCAAUGGCACUGCCCGGUAGCUAAAUGCGGAAGAGAUAAGUGCUGAAAGCAUCUAAGCACGAAACUUGCCCCGAGAUGAGUUCUCCCUGACUCCUUGAGGGUCCUGAAGGAACGUUGAAGACGACGACGUUGAUAGGCCGGGUGUGUAAGCGCAGCGAUGCGUUGAGCUAACCGGUACUAAUGAACCGUGAGGCUUAACCUU
Molecule: ribosomal RNA, 2902 nt
Filed under: Escherichia coli UMEA 3014-1
Lineage: Bacteria; Pseudomonadati; Pseudomonadota; Gammaproteobacteria; Enterobacterales; Enterobacteriaceae
Description: bacterial LSU rRNA
Rfam family: Bacterial large subunit ribosomal RNA
Source: RNAcentral